UACAGAGGGUGCGAGCGUUGUCCGGAAUCACUGGGCGUAAAGGGCGCGUAGGCGGCUUGAUAAGCGUGCGGUGAAAGCCCGGGGCUCAACCCCGAGUCGGCCGUGCGAACUGUCGAGCUGGAGCACUGUAGAGGCAGGUGGAAUUCCGGGUGUAGCGGUGGAAUGCGUAGAGAUCCGGAAGAACACCGGUGGCGAAGGCGGCCUGCUGGGCAGUGGCUGACGCUGAGGCGCGACAGCGUGGGGAGCAAACAGG
This 253-nucleotide ribosomal RNA is filed under the name uncultured bacterium. RNAcentral describes it as "partial 16S ribosomal RNA". It matches the Rfam family "Bacterial small subunit ribosomal RNA", at positions 524 to 776 of the family's 1533-position model. The record is from RNAcentral.